This 301-nucleotide ribosomal RNA is filed under the name uncultured bacterium. Its description in RNAcentral is "partial 16S ribosomal RNA". It matches the Rfam family "Bacterial small subunit ribosomal RNA", at positions 509 to 807 of the family's 1533-position model. The record is from RNAcentral.
CAGUCGCCGCGGGAAAACGGAGGGUGCAAGCGUUGUCCGGAUUUAUUGGGUUUAAAGGGUGCGUAGGCGGCUAUUUAAGUCAGCGGUGAAAGACUCCGGCUCAACCGGAGCAGUGCCAUUGAUACUGGAUAGCUUGAGUGUUGGAGGGGUACAUGGAAUUGAUGGUGUAGCGGUGAAAUGCAUAGAUACCAUCAGGAACACCGAUAGCGAAGGCAUUGUACUGGCCAACAACUGACGCUGAGGCACGAAAGCAUGGGGAGCGAACAGGAUUAGAUACCCCCGUAGUCCCUGUCUCUUAUAC